GACGAACGCUGGCGGCGUGCCUAAUACAUGCAAGUUGAGCGCUGAAGGUUGGUACUUGUACCAACUGGAUGAGCAGCGAACGGGUGAGUAACGCGUGGGGAAUCUGCCUUUGAGCGGGGGACAACAUUUGGAAACGAAUGCUAAUACCGCAUAAAAACUUUAAACACAAGUUUUAAGUUUGAAAGAUGCAAUUGCAUCACUCAAAGAUGAUCCCGCGUUGUAUUAGCUAGUUGGUGAGGUAAAGGCUCACCAAGGCGAUGAUACAUAGCCGACCUGAGAGGGUGAUCGGCCACAGUGGGACUGAGACAUGGCCCAAACUCCUACGGGAGGCAGCAGUAGGGAAUCUUCGGCAAUGGACGAAAGUCUGACCGAGCAACGCCGCGUGAGUGAAGAAGGUUUUCGGAUCGUAAAACUCUGUUGGUAGAGAAGAACGUUGGUGAGAGUGGAAAGCUCAUCAAGUGACGGUAACUACCCAGAAAGGGACGGCUAACUACGUG
This 497-nucleotide ribosomal RNA is filed under the name uncultured bacterium. RNAcentral describes it as "partial 16S ribosomal RNA". It matches the Rfam family "Bacterial small subunit ribosomal RNA", at positions 28 to 507 of the family's 1533-position model. The record is from RNAcentral.